AGUGAACGCUGGCGGUAGGCCUAACACAUGCAAGUCGAACGGCAGCACAGUAAGAGCUUGCUCUUACGGGUGGCGAGUGGCGGACGGGUGAGGAAUACAUCGGAAUCUACUUUUUCGUGGGGGAUAACGUAGGGAAACUUACGCUAAUACCGCAUACGACCUACGGGUGAAAGCAGGGGAUCUUCGGACCUUGCGCGAUUGAAUGAGCCGAUGUCGGAUUAGCUAGUUGGCGGGGUAAAGGCCCACCAAGGCGACGAUCCGUAGCUGGUCUGAGAGGAUGAACAGCCACACUGGAACUGAGACACGGUCCAGACUCCUACGGGAGGCAGGAGGGGGGAAUAUUGGACAAAGGGCGCAAGCCUGAUCCAGCCAUACCGGGUGGGUGAAGAAGGCCUUCGGGUUGUAAAGCCCUUUUGUUGGGAAAGAAAAGCAGCAGGUUAAUACCCCGCUGUUCUGACGGUACCCAAAGAAUAAGCACCGGCUAACUUCGUG
This 492-nucleotide ribosomal RNA is filed under the name uncultured bacterium. RNAcentral describes it as "partial 16S ribosomal RNA". It matches the Rfam family "Bacterial small subunit ribosomal RNA", at positions 29 to 507 of the family's 1533-position model. The record is from RNAcentral.